UACAGAGGUGGCAAGCGUUGUUCGGAAUUACUGGGCGUAAAGGGCGCGUAGGCGGCCAUCUAAGUCAGACGUGAAAUCCCCCGGCUUAACCUGGGAACUGCGUCUGAUACUGGAAGGCUUGAGUAUGGGAGAGGGAUGUAGAAUUCCAGGUGUAGCGGUGAAAUGCGUAGAUAUCUGGAGGAAUACCGGUGGCGAAGGCGGCAUCCUGGACCAUUACUGACGCUGAGGCGCGAAGGCUAGGGGAGCAAACGGG
RNAcentral lists this ribosomal RNA (253 nucleotides) under uncultured bacterium. RNAcentral's name for it is "partial 16S ribosomal RNA". It matches the Rfam family "Bacterial small subunit ribosomal RNA", at positions 524 to 776 of the family's 1533-position model. The record is from RNAcentral.